Molecule: ribosomal RNA, 492 nt
Filed under: uncultured bacterium
Lineage: Bacteria
Description: partial 16S ribosomal RNA
Rfam family: Bacterial small subunit ribosomal RNA
Source: RNAcentral
AGUGAACGCUGGCGGUAGGCCUAACACAUGCAAGUCGAACGGCAGCACAGUAAGAGCUUGCUCUUACGGGUGGCGAGUGGCGGACGGGUGAGGAAUACAUCGGAAUCUACUUUUUCGUGGGGGAUAACGUAGGGAAACUUACGCUAAUACCGCAUACGACCUACGGGUGAAAGCAGGGGAUCUUCGGACCUUGCGCGAUUGAAUGAGCCGAUGUCGGAUUAGCUAGUUGGCGGGGUAAAGGCCCACCAAGGCGACGAUCCGUAGCUGGUCUGAGAGGAUGAUCGGCCACACUGGAACUGGGACACGGUCCAGACUCCUAAGGGAGGCAGCAGUGGGGAAUAUUGGACAAUGGGCGCAAGCCUGAUCCAGCCAUACCGCGUGGGUGAAGAAGGCCUUCGGGUUGUAAAGCCCUUUUGUUGGGAAAGAAAAGCAGCAGGUUAAUACCCCGCUGUUCUGACGGUACCCAAAGAAUAAGCACCGGCUAACUUCGUG